CCUACGGGAGGCAGCAGUGGGGAAUAUUGGACAAUGGGCGCAAGCCUGAUCCAGCCAUGCCGCGUGUGUGAAGAAGGCCUUAGGGUUGUAAAGCACUUUCAGGGGUGAGGAAGGGUGAUAGCUUAAUACGUUAUCAUCUUGACGUUAGCCCCAGAAGAAGCACCGGCUAACUCUGUGCCAGCAGCCGCGGUAAUACAGAGGGUGCAAGCGUUAAUCGGAAUUACUGGGCGUAAAGCGCGCGUAGGUGGUUUGUUAAGUCGGAUGUGAAAUCCCAGGGCUCAACCUUGGAAUGGCACCCGAUACUGGCUAGCUAGAGUAUGGUAGAGGGGUGUGGAAUUUCUUGUGUAGCGGUGAAAUGCGUAKAUAUAGGAAGGAACAUCAGUGGCGAAGGCGACACCCUGGACUAAUACUGACACUGAGGUGCGAAAGCGUGGGGAGCAAACAGGAUUAKAUACCCUGGUAGUCCACGCCGUAAACGAUGUCUACUAGCCGUUGGGUUGUAAUGACUUAGUGGCGCAGCUAACGCAAUAAGUAKACCGCCUGAGGAGUACGGCCGCAAGGUUAAAACUCAAAGGAAUUGACGGGG
This 586-nucleotide ribosomal RNA is filed under the name uncultured bacterium. Its description in RNAcentral is "bacterial SSU rRNA". It matches the Rfam family "Bacterial small subunit ribosomal RNA", at positions 338 to 918 of the family's 1533-position model. The record is from RNAcentral.